GCAUCGACUAUUGUAAUAUAUAUUGUCACUCAGGGAAUGAUGUGCUAUCCACGAUUUUUCGGAUUUUUUUGUAUUAUUUCAUUUAAAUAUAAUUUUUAUUUAUCAAAUUAUUCACUCAUACAAUAAAUAAUUACUUUUAGAAUUAAAAAUAUUUUUUUCUAACAACAUUCUCAACAAUGCAUCAUACACAUAAUUUAUAAACAAUAUCUGUCUUAAACCAAUUUAAUAGAGGGUAGUGUUGGAUUCUAGAAACUUAAGAAUUUGAUGAUAAAGCUCCUUACGUAUUCUUCACUAUCAGUGAUUUAUUAUAUGAAUAU
Molecule: small RNA, 317 nt
Filed under: Arabidopsis thaliana (thale cress)
Lineage: Eukaryota; Viridiplantae; Streptophyta; Magnoliopsida; Brassicales; Brassicaceae
Description: ATSL099440
Source: RNAcentral